UACGUAGGUGGCAAGCGUUACUCGGAAUCACUAGGCGUAAAGCGCAGGUAGGAGGUUUAGUAAGUCUGUUGUGAAAGCUCCCGGCUUAACUGGGAGAGGUCAACGGAAACUGCUAGGCUAGAGUGCGGUAGAGGUAGCUGGAAUUCCCGGUGUAGCGGUGGAAUGCGUAGAGAUCGGGAAGAAUACCGGCGGCGAAGGCGUUCCGCUGGGCCGUUGCUGACGCUGAGGCGCGACAGCGUGGGGAGCAAACAGG
RNAcentral lists this ribosomal RNA (253 nucleotides) under uncultured prokaryote. RNAcentral's name for it is "partial 16S ribosomal RNA". It matches the Rfam family "Bacterial small subunit ribosomal RNA", at positions 524 to 776 of the family's 1533-position model. The record is from RNAcentral.